GAUGAACGCUAGCGGGAGGCUUAACACAUGCAAGUCGAGGGGCAUCACGAGGUAGCAAUACUUUGGUGGCGACCGGCGCACGGGUGAGUAACACGUAUGCAACCUACCCUGUACAGGGGGAUAACCCGGAGAAAUUCGGACUAAUAUCCCAUGAUGAUAUUGAGGGGCAUCCUUUAAUAUUUAAAGCUCAGGCGGUACGGGAUGGGCAUGCGGAACAUUAGCUAGUUGGCAGGGUAACGGCCUACCAAGGCUACGAUGUUUAGGGGACAUGCGAGGGUUAUCCCCCACACUGGUACUGAGACACUGACCAGACUCCUGCGGGAGGCAUCGGGGAGGCGUAUUGGUCAAUGGGCGCAAGCCUGAACCAGCCAUCCCGCGUGAAGGAAGAAGGCGCUAUGCGUUGUAAACUUCUUUUCCAGGGGGUGAAUAAUUCCGAUGUAUCGGGAGAUGACGGUACCCUGGGAAUAAGCAUCGGCUAACUCCGUGCCAGCAGCCGCCGUAA
This 502-nucleotide ribosomal RNA is filed under the name uncultured bacterium. Its description in RNAcentral is "partial 16S ribosomal RNA". It matches the Rfam family "Bacterial small subunit ribosomal RNA", at positions 28 to 523 of the family's 1533-position model. The record is from RNAcentral.